GCAUAUCAAUAAGCGGAGGAAAAGAAACUAACAAGGAUUCCCCUAGUAGCGGCGAGCGAAGCGGGAAGAGCUCAAAUUUAUAAUCUGGCACCUUCGGUGUCCGAGUUGUAAUCUCUAGAAAUGUUUUCCGCGUUGGACCGCACACAAGUCUGUUGGAAUACAGCGGCAUAGUGGUGAGACCCCCGUAUAUGGUGCGGACGCCCAGCGCUUUGUGAUACAUUUUCGAAGAGUCGAGUUGUUUGGGAAUGCAGCUCAAAUUGGGUGGUAAAUUCCAUCUAAAGCUAAAUAUUGGCGAGAGACCGAUAGCGAACAAGUACCGUGAGGGAAAGAUGAAAAAGCACUUUGGAAAGAGAGUUAACAGUACGUGAAAUUGUUGGAAGGGAAACGCUUGAAGUCAGACUUGCUUGCCGAGCAAUCGGUUUGCAGGCCAGCAUCAGUUUUCCGGGAUGGAUAAUGGUAGAGAGAAGGUAGCAGUUUCGGCUGUGUUAUAGCUCUCUGCUGGAUACAUCUUGGGGGACUGAGGAACGCAGUGUGCCUUUGGCGGGGGUUUCGACCUCUUCACACUUAGGAUGCUGGUGGAAUGGCUUUAAACGACCCGUCUUGAAACACGGACC
This 614-nucleotide ribosomal RNA is filed under the name Rhodotorula sp. M65. RNAcentral describes it as "eukaryotic LSU rRNA". It matches the Rfam family "Eukaryotic large subunit ribosomal RNA", at positions 38 to 667 of the family's 3401-position model. Lineage: Eukaryota; Fungi; Basidiomycota; Microbotryomycetes; Sporidiobolales; Sporidiobolaceae. The record is from RNAcentral.